CCCACCUUGCUGAAAUAUGGUUGGCCGCAGCUGCUGGAGGAAAAAAACAAAACAACAGCCAUGUAUUGCGCAAGCAGCUUCUCUAUGAACUAAAGGGAUGCAGAAACCAUUUGGGAGUCUGUCUCCUCCAAUCAGCUGCCCGGAAGAAGGGAAGACAAACAGAUAUGUGGUCACCACACUAAAGGGGAAGCAUUAUAAUUACUAUCAAUCAGUAACAUUCUGAAACCUCAAACACGUCCUUUCUUGAUGGCAUCGACAUCAAAGGGGAGUUUUCAAAUGAAAAUGCAGUUGCAGCUACGUCAGGAUGACUCGCACUCUAUGAAGCAAUUCUAACAGCCUUCUAGCAGGACCUGGCCAGAGAAUCUCAGCUUCUCGUCAAAGCACACCGUGCAUAACGUUGGG
Molecule: long non-coding RNA, 402 nt
Organism: Paramormyrops kingsleyae
Lineage: Eukaryota; Metazoa; Chordata; Actinopteri; Osteoglossiformes; Mormyridae
Source: RefSeq, a predicted model, not a curated record